This 209-nucleotide long non-coding RNA is filed under the name Carica papaya (papaya). RNAcentral's name for it is "long non-coding RNA (CPAP_LNC014617)". Lineage: Eukaryota; Viridiplantae; Streptophyta; Magnoliopsida; Brassicales; Caricaceae. The record is from RNAcentral.
AUGACAUCUUUAGUAGACGAGACUUCAUCCUGUCCGUUCAUGCAGUCUGUUUCAUUGACACAUACCCACAUGUCGCCUAGGUGUCAAGCACAGAUAGGUCGUCUCGAACAUGUCGGCCUGAUGUGUUUCAACUUUAAGAAAUUACAAAUUGACUCCAAAAGCUAUAAUUUCCUUCACCUGGGUCCCUAGGUUUAAAUUCAAUUUGAAAA